RNAcentral lists this ribosomal RNA (253 nucleotides) under uncultured bacterium. RNAcentral describes it as "partial 16S ribosomal RNA". It matches the Rfam family "Bacterial small subunit ribosomal RNA", at positions 524 to 776 of the family's 1533-position model. The record is from RNAcentral.
UACGGGGGGAGCAAGCGUUGUUCGGAUUUACUGGGCGUAAAGGGCGCGUAGGCGGCUUGAAAAGUCACUUGUGAAAUCUCCGGGCUUAACUCGGAACGGUCAAGUGAAACUUUCAGACUAGAGUGCAGAAGGGGCAAUCGGAAUUCUUGGUGUAGCGGUGAAAUGCGUAGAUAUCAAGAGGAACACCUGAGGUGAAGACGGGUUGCUGGGCUGACACUGACGCUGAGGCGCGAAAGCUAGGGGAGCAAACGGG